This 67-nucleotide microRNA precursor is filed under the name Bombyx mori (domestic silkworm). RNAcentral's name for it is "mir-2774 microRNA precursor family". It matches the Rfam family "mir-2774 microRNA precursor family". Lineage: Eukaryota; Metazoa; Arthropoda; Insecta; Lepidoptera; Bombycidae. The record is from Rfam by way of RNAcentral.
AAAAGAUUAGGACCAGCGAUCUACCGAGCAAUUACACCAUCUCGGUGGAAGAUCUUUCUUACGUCAU